This 242-nucleotide ribosomal RNA is filed under the name uncultured Bacteroidales bacterium. RNAcentral describes it as "partial 16S ribosomal RNA". It matches the Rfam family "Bacterial small subunit ribosomal RNA", at positions 796 to 1041 of the family's 1533-position model. Lineage: Bacteria; Pseudomonadati; Bacteroidota; Bacteroidia; Bacteroidales. The record is from RNAcentral.
CGCACAGUAAACGAUGAAUGCUAGCUGUUGGCGAUACACAGUCAGUGGCACAGCGAAAGCGUUAAGCAUUCCACCUGGGGAGUACGCCGGCAACGGUGAAACUCAAAGGAAUUGACGGGGGCCCGCACAAGCGGAGGAACAUGUGGUUUAAUUCGAUGAUACGCGAGGAACCUUACCCGGGCUUGAAUUGCAUCUGAAUAUGCCGGAAACGGUAUAGCUAGCAAUAGCAGAUGUGAAGGUGC